GAUGAAGAACGCAGCGAAAUGCGAUAAGUAAUGUGAAUUACAGAAUUCAGUGAAUCAUCGAAUCUUUGAACGCACAUUGCGCCCCCUGGCAUUCCGGGGGGCAUGCCUGUUCGAGCGUCAUUACAACCCUCAAGCUCUGCUUGGUAUUGGGCUCUGCUGGGACCGGCAGGCCUUAAAAUCAGUGGCGGCGCCACUCGGCUUCAAGCGUAGUAAUUCUUCUCGCUUCGGAGACCCGGGUGCGUGCUAGCCAGCAACCCCCAACUUUCUUAGGUUGACCUCGGAUCAGGUAGGGAUACCCGCUGAACUUAAGCAUAUCAAUAAGCGGAGGA
RNAcentral lists this unclassified non-coding RNA (329 nucleotides) under soil metagenome. RNAcentral describes it as "partial contains 5.8S ribosomal RNA, internal transcribed spacer 2, and large subunit ribosomal RNA". The stretch from base 1 to 120 matches the Rfam family "5.8S ribosomal RNA", at positions 35 to 154 of the family's 154-position model. The record is from RNAcentral.